This 579-nucleotide ribosomal RNA is filed under the name uncultured Gammaproteobacteria bacterium. Its description in RNAcentral is "bacterial SSU rRNA". It matches the Rfam family "Bacterial small subunit ribosomal RNA", at positions 8 to 582 of the family's 1533-position model. The record is from RNAcentral. Lineage: Bacteria; Pseudomonadati; Pseudomonadota; Gammaproteobacteria.
AGAGUUUGAUCAUGGCUCAGAUUGAACGCUGGCGGCAGGCCUAACACAUGCAAGUCGAGCGGAUGAGAAGAGCUUGCUCUUCGAUUCAGCGGCGGACGGGUGAGUAAUACCUAGGAAUCUGCCUGGUAGUGGGGGACAACGUUUCGAAAGGAACGCUAAUACCGCAUACGUCCUACGGGAGAAAGCAGGGGACCUUCGGGCCUUGCGCUAUCAGAUGAGCCUAGGUCGGAUUAGCUAGUUGGUGAGGUAAUGGCUCACCAAGGCUACGAUCCGUAACUGGUCUGAGAGGAUGAUCAGUCACACUGGAACUGAGACACGGUCCAGACUCCUACGGGAGGCAGCAGUGGGGAAUAUUGGACAAUGGGCGAAAGCCUGAUCCAGCUAUGCCGCGUGUGUGAAGAAGGUCUUCGGAUUGUAAAGCACUUUAAGUUGGGAGGAAGGGCAGUAAGCGAAUACCUUGCUGUUUUGACGUUACCGACAGAAUAAGCACCGGCUAACUCUGUGCCAGCAGCCGCGGUAAUACAGAGGGUGCAAGCGUUAAUCGGAAUUACUGGGCGUAAAGCGCGCGUAGGUGGUUCG